GGAUUCCCCUAGUAACUGCGAGUGAAGCGGGAUGAGCUCAAAUUUAAAAUCUGGCGGUCUUUGGCCGUCCGAGUUGUAUUCUGGAGAAGUGCUUUCCGCGCUGGACCGUGUACAAGUCCCUUGGAACAGGGCGUCAUAGAGGGUGAGAAUCCCGUCUUUGACACGGACUACCAGUGCUUUGUGAUGCGCUCUCGAAGAGUCGAGUUGUUUGGGAAUGCAGCUCAAAAUGGGUGGUAAAUUCCAUCUAAAGCUAAAUAUUGGCGAGAGACCGAUAGCGAACAAGUACCGUGAGGGAAAGAUGAAAAGCACUUUGGAAAGAGAGUUAAACAGUACGUGAAAUUGCUGAAAGGGAAACGCUUGAAGUCAGUCGCGUCGUGCGGAACUCAACCUUGCUUUUGCUUGGUGCACUUUCUGUACGACGGGCCAGCAUCGAUUUUGACCGCCGGAAAAGGGUUGGGGGAAUGUGGCACCUUCGGGUGUGUUAUAGCCCCCAGUCGCAUACGGCGGUUGGGAUCGAGGAUCGCAGCGCGCCGCAAGGCAGGGGUUCGCCCACUUUCGCGCUUAGGAUGCUGGCGUAAUGGCUUUAAACGACCCGUCUUGAAACACGGACCAAGGAGUCUAACAUGCCUGCGAGUGUUUGGGUGGAAAACCCGAGCGCGUAAUGAAAGUGAAAG
This 674-nucleotide ribosomal RNA is filed under the name Neofavolus suavissimus. Its description in RNAcentral is "LSU rRNA". It matches the Rfam family "Eukaryotic large subunit ribosomal RNA", at positions 72 to 731 of the family's 3401-position model. The record is from RNAcentral. Lineage: Eukaryota; Fungi; Basidiomycota; Agaricomycetes; Polyporales; Polyporaceae.